RNAcentral lists this transfer RNA (68 nucleotides) under Marmota monax (woodchuck). RNAcentral's name for it is "tRNA.Ala". Lineage: Eukaryota; Metazoa; Chordata; Mammalia; Rodentia; Sciuridae. The record is from RNAcentral.
GUUGCGGCUCAGGGGAAAAGUGCUCGCCUGGCAUGCGUGAGGCACUGAGUUCAAUUCCCAGCACCACA